Manis javanica (Malayan pangolin) is the source of this 3181-nucleotide long non-coding RNA. RefSeq lists it as uncharacterized. The record is from RefSeq and is a predicted model, not a curated record. Lineage: Eukaryota; Metazoa; Chordata; Mammalia; Pholidota; Manidae.
AAGGAGCAAAGGACAGCGAGCUGAGGAACAGACGCGGGGAGGCCAAGGGAUACCGGGAAAGCCAAGCGAAGCCCUCGGGCCCCCGGCGACCGGCGCUGGGCGCAUGGACGUUCUUACGCGAAGAGCAGAGACACCCUGUGCCUUGCUCCUCCGCGAGUUACGCACGCGUUCGGGGCGCAGGGUGCCCCCCGAGUGUGUCUGGGCAGAGAUUCUGGACGCCCGGGAGCCGGGUGAGUUUCCUCGGGAUCACAGACUCCUGCCAUCCGCCACCUUUGGGAGCGGGCAGAAAAGCUUUUCACCCCAAAAACUGUCCUUGGUGGAGAGCCUGUGAGCGGCUGUCGCUUGUUUUAUCCCGUCAGUAUACAACAGCCAGCGACCCCGUUUGGGCAGGCGGGCUGCACGCACCCCGCCAGGGACCCCCAGUCUGCAGGGCAAGGCCUGCGGGGGACGGAGGGCCGGGCCCGGCCUGCAGCGGCCUUGGGGGUCUGGCCCUCCUCCUCGGCCGCUGAACCCCACGGGGAACCUCGUGUUCUCCGCGGCCAAGCGCCGGGUCUUACAGAACAUCGGUGAGGAAACAAUGCUUUCGGUAGCCCACAUGCAGCCCCGUGACCUGCAGGCCAGAGCGGACGGGUGACCGCCACCCGCGGCCCUGCGCCGACCACGAGGGAGAAACCCCGCGCUCCGAGGGUCAGGAUAUUUGUAAAGCAAAAAGCCUUGGAAGAUGGAAGCAGUGUUUCCUUCUGGAGCAAAGGGAAGAAUUGUUUGGUACAACGAAGAUAACAUCUCUCUUUGGGACAAAAUUCAGCAUGUGUGUCUGGCAUUGUGCCCCGGGAAGCUGACUCCUGCAGGCCCAGGCUUGUCUGCCUUCUGCUCUGGCCAAUGCGGGGCAUUGACAGAAGGUAGAGCGGGAUCAAGCAGUCGAGUUUCGUCCAGAUCUCCAGCUGGCUUGGAACCUUGCUGAGGCUCCAUCAAGUCUGCCAUUCGAAGAAGAGAUUUACUUAACAUGAGAACUGCCCAAAAAAUGAGAUGGCAUUGUUCCUCAUUCUACAUCAAGAUGUGAUAAAAGAGAGAACCUCUUUCAGGUAUGGUGCAUUAGCUACAUGUAUCCUAAGUAGAGUCAACUCACUUCAGCCAUGAUUUUGGUGCCUAAGGAGGGACUGCGCUCCACGGACUCUCCAGACCAUGUCACUUACCUCCACCACACAGCAGUGCUGGGACUCUGCAAGAUUCCACAUAUAAAAGAGGCAAGGAUAUACAAUGGGAAAAAGUCAGUCUCUUAAUAAAUGGUGUUGGGACCUCAACAAUGACCUGAAACCAUAAAACUCCUAAUAGAAAAUACUGGCAAUUUUGUUCUAUGUAUGUCUCCCCAAGCAAGGGAAACAAAGCAAAAAUAAACAAAUGGAACUGUAUCAAACUGAAAAGCUUCUGCACAGCAAAGGAAACCAUCAAUGAAACGAAAAGGCAAUCUCCUAAAUGGGAGAACACAUUUGCAAAUGAUGUACCUGAUCAGGGGUUAAUAUCUAGAACAUAUAAAGAACUCAGACAACUCAACACCAGGAAAACAAAUAAUCCAAUUAAAAUAUGAGCAGAGGACCUGAACAUUUUCCAAAGAAGACAUGCAGAUGGCCAACAGGCAAAUGAAAGAUGCUCAACAUCCAGUUAUAUUUAAUCUCAUUAUAUGUCCAUAGUAACAAUUAGUGCUUGCAAUAACCCUCUUUGGUAGGCACUAUUAUAAUCUUAAUCUGUCAGAGGAGAAAAAUUAGGUACAUAGAAUUUAAAUACCUUAUGCAAGUUCACACAGCCAUUAAAUAUAGAGCCUAAAUAUCUUACCCACUGUGUAAUGUGAUUAAGAUUCUUUUUUAAUCAAGCUCUAUUACUGAAAUAUAAUUGACACAUGACAUGUAAGUUUAAGGUAUACUAUAUGAUGUUUUAAGACAUAUCGUUAAACUCACUGUUUUAAAGAAACAGCUUUUUGCUAUUGGUGUAAUAGAAUUGGUUAGCAUAUUAUUGUUGAAUAGCCAAUUUUUAAUAGAUUUUAGUUUUUACAGCAGUUUUAGGUUCACAGCAAUACUGAGUAGAAAGUAGAGGUUUCCCACACACACCCUGCUACCACACGUACAAUUUCCCCCAUUAUCAGCAUCUCCCACCAGAGUGGGGCAUUUUUUAUAAUGGAUGAAUCUGCUUGGACACAAUGUAAUCACCCAAAGUCCAUCAUUUACAGUAAGGUUAAUUUUGGUGUGCAUUCUUAUGGUUUGGACAAAUGUAUAAUGAUAGUUACAGUCAAAUAUUAGUUAGCGCCUUAUACUAAUUAGUUCCCUAUAGUAUCAUACAGAGAAGUUUCACGUCCUAAAAAUUCUGUGUGCUCUGCCUAUCUAUCCCUCCUGCCCACCUAAAUCCCAGGCAAGGACUAUGUUUUAUAAAAGAGAAAAUCAGAACUAUAUGUCACAUAAAAUAAAUCCACAAAUUCAUUACAUCAGUCAGGGUAACUUACUCUGGAUUAUCAUCAAUGUGGAAUCGGAAUCCGUACCAACCUUACGUAGGCCUCUACCAGCAAGCAAUACUCCUUCACAGUUCUGAGUUCUGCUCAUGAAUCCUCCUUUUUACUACCAAAUAUUAAGCUCUGCUUUGAUGUUAUCCCCAAGGAUAACCUUAACUAGCAUCUUCAGUAUCAUUUGAGGGUUAUUUCUUAACAUAUUUUUAAAUCUUAAGAAAUGGAUUAUUUUCUUCACAGAUUUUAUGCCGCAUCUCAGCACAUCAGCAUAUUUGAUGAUGGCUCUCUGGUUAAGGCUGUAAACCAUGUACAGGGACAGUGUCUUCAGCACCGCUAACGCCAGCCUCAAAAGUUUUAUCUCCUAAGUAUUGCCCACAGUUUAAAUCGAAGUAACAAAUGCACAAUUAACCUGAGCAGAGGGGAAAUGCCCACUCAGCACUUCGGAAAAUGAUCUGGGUGAGUUAUGAGUCAUCUCAUUUUGCAAAGUAGCAAUAAAAGUGAGUCUUUCAUUUUGCAAAGGUGCCACUGGCAUUUACAGCAGAUGAUUCGAAUAAAGGAGAAAAAUAACUUCUGCGUUUUAUCAGAACAGCAGCAUUUUAUCCUGGUCAUGCAUUUUUGCCUCUUCAGUUUUCAUCCAUCAAAGGAAAAUUCUCCACAAGUUGUUGCCCAGAGUCGCGUUAUUCCCCAGUG